RNAcentral lists this ribosomal RNA (233 nucleotides) under uncultured bacterium. Its description in RNAcentral is "partial 16S ribosomal RNA". It matches the Rfam family "Bacterial small subunit ribosomal RNA", at positions 118 to 347 of the family's 1533-position model. The record is from RNAcentral.
UGAGUAACCUGCCCUUAACUCUGGGAUAAGCCUGGGAAACUGGGUCUAAUACCGGAUAUGACUCCUCAUCGCAUGGUGGGGGGUGGAAGGCUUUAUUGUGGUUUUGGAUGGACUCGCGGCCUAUCAGCUUGUUGGUGAGGUAAUGGCUCACCAAGGCGACGACGGGUAGCCGGCCUGAGAGGGUGACCGGCCACACUGGGACUGAGACACGGCCCAGACUCCUACGGGAGCAG